RNAcentral lists this non-coding RNA (45 nucleotides) under Schistosoma mansoni. Lineage: Eukaryota; Metazoa; Platyhelminthes; Trematoda; Strigeidida; Schistosomatidae. The record is from RNAcentral.
AUUUAACACACGAGUCCCAAAUAGGACGAAACGCGCGUCCUGGAU